UGCUCAAUCAACAAUAUUUUAUUUCCAUAUAAUUCAACACUUAAGAGCAUAAGAACCAUCAUGAUGGGGAGAGUUGCCUGCAGAGGGUCACAGCAAGUCUCAAAAUGGUGACGGGUUUCUCAGCCUUUUAUAGCCUCUAGUAGCCCCCACCUAGUCGUAAAAGCCUAAACAUUCACAUGUUUUCUCUCUUACGGCGCCUAAGUUAUGACCUCGGCUCCCUGUCUUUCUGCUCUCUGUAAGGGUGGGGGUAUGGAAUGUGGUCGUCUCUUCUUCUAUUUUAGACACAAGGUCUUCUGCACCCAACAUUCUCUUCAUGAUUCAGCAGUAUGAAAUGUCAAGAAACAGUGUAACACAUUCAACAGUGUUGAGUAAUGCAGGUCAAUCAAAUAGAUCUAAUGUUUUUCACACUCUUUUAAGUCAGAAGUAUAAUGCAAACUAAAACUACCUACUGAUCACACACUCUAUAUUAAGGGGUAUAAUAUGAUCUACAGCAGUAUCAUAAUUCAACUACUUUGAUUACAGAUAUAAAGUAACAUAUGAUAACAAAAUAAUCUCACAAUUCCCCCUUUUGAUCUCUUUUUUUAAGAGAUCACUUAUAACAUACACUCCAGCGUUACAAGAUCCAGCUUUUCUUGGUCCUGAGGCCCUCUGUCCCCCUUUAACGGGUCGACCAUAUGUGAAAUGACCUCUGUGUUUGCACAGUUCAGAUGCAAGAAAAAUUAGAUUUACAACCAUAACAGCAGUUACAGAUGACACUCCCAUCACUCCCCAAUUCUCCCACAGCUUUAUUUUGGUGCUCCAGUUUCCCACCCCCAUUUUGGUGCCACCUUAUACCUUUCAAAUGUACUCAGACUAGAACCUCUGUCUAAGGAGCUUUUAACCUUUAUUUUAUUGCUGCAGCUACCAGUAUCUUCCAGUUGGGUGAUUCUCAGCUUCUUUCUUCGACCUCUGGGGUUAGACCACCCUUUAGUCGGUGCACAGAUCAGGGGAUUAUUCUGCCCCGAUUUCAAACAAAGAUCUGUGUAUUCUGGGGUCACCGCCGUGUCCCCCUUUUUGCCAAGAGCCUCCCGAACCUCGUUGGUCUGGUGUUCCUAGAUUUUCGCCAACCCCUUCAUGGUUAUUGCUGUGUUUAUGGGAUCCAUCUUCUCGAGGAGCCCAAACGCCAUGACACUUGACCCCAGUUGCUGUCUCGGCAGUCCCUACAUCUGUCUCUGCUGGAGGAUCCUCGUAUCUCCGUAACCUCGUCUGGUGUCUGUUCCUUUCUCUGUAAGAGACAGAAAACCAAAACACCUCUCUCCCUAGCCUUGAUAAUCUAAUGUUGUUAUCCAUUGCUCCUCUAGUGAUUCAAAGUUGGUAUAAAAUAUUAUGUUCAGAACUCUGUGACCCAGGGACUCAUUCUAAUCAUUAUCUAUGUGUGUAAGCGUGUUUGCAUCCUCUGCACUCAAAGUCAAUACCUACAAUAUAUCAGUCCGGACAGUCACGCCGAACGAAGCUUAUGCCCUUCAAAAGACUGAGUGUCAACUCAUUAUGAGCACAUUUGCAAUGUGUUUAUGAAAGUGAUUAUAACCGCUUAGUUUAAUCAAGAAAUCAAAAACAAAAACAAAUUAACCAUUUUUUCUAACACAUUAUAAGCUUAAGUUUUACCAUACCUAAAUUAUUAAACACAAAUAAAGUCAUAAAAUGUUCAUAAAACCAUUGUUUGAUGUUAAAACUCAACUUCCACUCCCCCCUUUUUGACACACUCCCAUGUGUCAAUUCAUCGGAGCUAGAAAAUUAAAAGAGAAGGUUAGUGACAUCAUAUCUCAGAACUCAAAAUUAGCAACCAAAGGGUUAAAUCUGCAGUUCCACCCUCUCAUGUGAAGCUACCGUCUCCUCUUCAGUCUCUCUUAUCCUCCUGCUCCUGCAAAAACAAAACAAAACAAAGCGAAGCAUCCACCCUUCUCUUGCCGGCUGGGUGAAUUGUUUGUCAGCAUUUACUAAUCCUAAAGUUGGUGCAGUCAUUGUCUCAGUAUCAAGUCAGUCAAAACUUUUAGUCAGUCCAUCCCAGUCCAGUCACAUGCAUUCAUUCACACACAUUCAUACCAGAUGUUGCUGAUAAUGGAGUCUCACGCGUGACCUAUUCGAGCAUCCAUCACCAGCAAGAUGACGUCAUCGUUUUAAAAAGAAAACAAUUCUUUGUUUUUCGGACUGGAUUGACUCGCUGCAAUCAUUUUAGACUCAGGACUUCUCACGUGAUCAGUGUCCCAUAUAAGUGAAUUUCUCUCAAGCCAAUUACAAUCAUGGAGAAGCAAACUUUGCAACUGUUUACAGUAAUAAUAUUUUAUAGCGCUUUAAAUCUCAAUCUUUCAGGCCUGGUUUAAAGAGCUGAUUGUUAAAUCAUGAACUCACAAAAUAUCACCACCGGUGGAUCACCUCUCAGAUUUUCCUCAGUGCACUGUAACAAAAACAAAAACAGACGUAACCAACAAAAUACUAAUAAAAUAACACAAACUAGGGCCCGUUGCAGACAUGUCCAAACAUAAACUCAUCCCUCUCUCGCUUACGAGAAAGAACACAACCCAAAGCUCACUGAUAAAAUCAAGCUAGCGCUAAGCAAAACCAAAAAAUCAACCAGAAAUUCACAGGAACGUUUUGCUUCCUGUCGGGACAAUAUUGUGUGGGAAUGAGAACCUCAGGUACCGUAACACCUUUUGUUCCUCCUUGAAUUAAAUUUCAAUCACAGAAAAUGCAGUACUUCGACCUAAAACUUACACUAUUAAUUCAUCAUUUUCACUCUGUGCCUCUGCUCCUCAUCAGGCUGUGUGAAGCACAGCAAAGAAUUCAGUCAAGGCCUUGAACCAUAAACAGACAUCACACACAGACAUUGUUUUCAUAACCAAACUGUUUCAGACCUUACCCCUAAAAUCUACAUAAAUGUACUCUGGGUGACAUAAAACACAUUUUAAGUAAUCAACGAUAAUCAAUGGCCCCUCAUAAAAACUAUGUAUUGGGAUAUUUGUGUGCAGCAUUUUGCAUAUCAGCAUAAGCAUUUGUUAGCAAAGCAUUCUUCAUUGCGUCAGCGUGUAUGUGUGUGUGCGCGCAUCACUCUUCGUUGCACAAGCGUGUGCAUGUGUAUGUGUAUGUGUGUGUGUAUGUGUGUGGAUCACUUCUCAGUGAAUCAGCAUUCCAAUGUGCGUGUGUGUGUGUGUGUGUGUUCAUCACUUUCCUGUUCUGGUGUCUUGGGUAAACCACAGCCUGAAGCGUGCCCUGGGGUCCUGCCCUCCUCCUUUUCAGUCUGUUUGCGACCAUUGCUGCUGCUGCUGCUCAAAGUUCAGUCCGUCCUGGUUCUAACCCCAAUUGGGGCAGUCCUUUCUCCAAUGUCCAUGCUCACCGUAGGUGAAACCUGCAUCUUCUUCUCCUGUAUUUUGUCCAUUCUGAGGUGCCUUUUGACCUCAGUUACUCCUCCUGUCUCUGUCGCGCCCCUUUUUGCUGCCCGAUCAUGCGUGUUGGUCCAUCACUGUCCUGCACAGUGUUAAUGCAGAGUUAUCAAGAUCAGCAUCCUUUUGCUUGACCUUACUUUUCAUUCGGGCUUGGCGGGCGUCUCGUCACAGCUCUGUCAGCUGAAGCUGUCUGAGAAUUUUCCCC
Molecule: long non-coding RNA, 3624 nt
Organism: Oreochromis aureus
Lineage: Eukaryota; Metazoa; Chordata; Actinopteri; Cichliformes; Cichlidae
Source: Ensembl